This 594-nucleotide long non-coding RNA is filed under the name Androctonus crassicauda. The record is from RNAcentral. Lineage: Eukaryota; Metazoa; Arthropoda; Arachnida; Scorpiones; Buthidae.
ACCCUGUAUCAUGUUUGUAAUGAACCUAGAAAUAUUAUUCCUCCCAAAACUUUAAAGCAAUAAAUUCACAUGCAUCUAGUCAUCACUUUGUGGGUCAUUCUUUCACAGCAUACACAAAAUCAGCAACUCACCUUAACAUCAAUUUGACAUAGGUACAAUAAAGAUCUGAUGGAAUGUUGACCCAUGUUACUUGGAGAACCAUCUUCAACUGAACAAGGCUUGCAUUUUCAUACCCAUUUCUUGAAUGCACAACACAGGUCCUCAAUUGCGUUCAGAUCAGGAGAAUUUGGGACCCAAUUCAGGACUUGACUCCAUUAUAGCAAAGCCAAGCAGUAGUGGAGCAUGCAGUAGAUAGCUUUGAGAGAUCUUGCUGAAACAUUAAUUCUUCCUAUGGACAAAGAUAGACCUAGAAGGCAGGAAAUGUUAUUCCAAGAUUUCCUGGUAGCAUUUUGCAUUGAUAUACCCAUCAUAUUAAACCAAAUCACCUAUUCCAGAAGAGGCAAAACUUCUCUACUCUCUCACAGUACCUGGAAACUUUACUUAUUGUUUCAUACAGCUUUGGCAGAGUCCUUCAUUUGGUUUGUGGAUGAUUUU